AACACGUGAGCAAUCUACCGAUUACUGGGGGAUAGCCGGCCCAACGGCCGGGUAAUACCGCAUACGCUCAAGAGGGGACAUCCCCAUUUGAGGAAACCUCCGGGGGUAAUCGAGGAGCUCGCGUCUUAUCAGCUAGUUGGUGAGGUAACGGCUCACCAAGGCUACGACGGGUAGCUGGUCUGAGAGGAUGGCCAGCCACAUUGGGACUGCGACACGGCCCAGACUCCUACGGGAGGCAGCAGUGGGGAAUAUUGCGCAAUGGACGAAAGUCUGACGCAGCGACGCCGCGUGUGGGAUGAAGCUCUUCGGGGUGUAAACCACUGUUGCCCGGGACGAAUAUCCUUUUUUGAAAGGAUUGACGGUACCGGGUGAGGAAGCACCGGCUAACUCUGUGCCAGCAGCCGCGGUAAUACAGAGGGUGCGAGCGUUGUCCGGAAUCACUGGGCGUAAAGGGCGCGUAGGUGGCUUGUUAAGCGUGUGGUGAAAGCCUGGGGCUCAACCCCAGGUCUGCCGUGCGAACUGGCAAGCUUGAGCGUAGUAGAGGCAGGUGGAAUUUCGGGUGUAGCGGUGGAAUGCGUAGAUAUCCGAAAGAACACCGGUGGCGAAGGCGGCCUGCUGGGCUACUGCUGACACUGAUGCGCGACAGCGUGGGGAGCAAACAGGAUUAGAUACCCUGGUAGUCCACGCCGUAAACGAUGGGUACUAGGCGUCUGGGGGAGCGACCCCCUGGGUGCCGGCGCUAACGCAUGAAGUACCCCGCCUGGGGAGUACGGCCGCAAGGCUGAAACUCAAAGGAAUUGACGGGGGCCCGCACAAGCGGUGGAGCAUGUGGUUUAAUUCGACGCAACGCGAAGAACCUUACCUGGGUUUGACAUGCUGGAGAAAGCCCUCAGAAACGGGGCCCCUCUUCGGAGUUCCAGCACAGAUGCUGCAUGGCUGUCGUCAGCUCGUGUCGUGAGAUGUUGGGUUAAGUCCCGCAACGAGCGCAACCCUCAUCCCUAGUUACCAGCGGGUAAAGCCGGGAACUCUAGGGGGACUGCCGGUGCCAAACCGGACGAAGGUGGGGACGACGUCAAGUCAUCAUGGCUCUUACAUCCAGGGCUACACACGUGCUACAAUGGGCCAGACAAAGGGUCGCCAACCCGCGAGGGGGAGCCAAUCCCAUAAACUGGUCCUCAGUUCGGAUUGCAGUCUGCAACUCGACUGCAUGAAGCUGGAAUCGCUAGUAAUCGUGGAUCAGCUACGCCACGGUGAAUACGUUCCCGGGCCUUGUACACACCGCCCGUCACGCCAUGGAAGCUGUGAGUGCCCGAAGUCCGUGCAGGAACCCGCAAGGGGCCGAGCGGCCGAAGGCAAGCGCAGUGACUGGGGCGAAGUCGUAACAAGGUAGCCGUAGGGGUGCGGCUGGAUC
This 1411-nucleotide ribosomal RNA is filed under the name metagenome. RNAcentral's name for it is "bacterial SSU rRNA". It matches the Rfam family "Bacterial small subunit ribosomal RNA". The record is from RNAcentral.